CUCCUAACUACCUGGUGCUCUGUUGACCAAUCAGGGCCCCGUAUAAAAACUGCUAGUUUCCCCCUUCCGCCCUCUCUUGCCCGCUGGUGACGGAAGUGCGUCAUACUUCCGCGUCGCUCACUCCGUGUAGUUGCUCUGCUGUGCUACAGAUCUUCGGUUGGCGGGCUAUCAUUCACCUUACUGUUUGAACGCCGUGAAUGAGGAGCGAGUAACACUGAUAGCUGCUACGUUUGCAUGCUCGGAGCUUCCUCCCUCUGGGCUUACCAAAACUCUGCUUGAGCGGAACUGGGCUGAAGCCACCGGAGGUCCUUGUAGCUGUUUAGCAUUUCCACUACUGGCUGCUGUUUUGCUGAGACACUGCUGCUUUUGCCGAAACACUGCUGCUUUUGCCGAGGCUGCUGUUUGCUUCAUACGGCUUUUGCCGCGACUGCUGCUGUUAUUGAAAAUUCAAUAUCGUAGCGAUUGCUGCACGCCAUGCUGCACACCUGUCUUGCCUUCUCGGCUACUGGGCCAAUAUGAGUCACCUGUUUUAUUGAGCCAUUGUUUUAUAGUUGAGGGGUUUGACUCCCUACUUUAAUUUGGUUGAUUUAGUUGUUUCUUUGUUUUCUUUCUAUUGUUUUCAAUUUAAUUAAAAGUUGUACUUAUAUUUUGUUUAGUUUCUUUUAGUUAGUCUUUUUCUAUUUAAACAUUGACUUUUCUUGGUUAUGUUAUUGUGUCAAUUAGAAGUGUUUUGUUUCUUGCUUUGUAUGGCUUCCUGGAACCACUAGUGGUUCUGGCCAUUAUAUGGUAUUUAUAUUGUGUUCGAUUUCUUUCAAUUUGUUUCUUUAUAAUCGGUUAUUGAUUUUUUGAGAUUU
This is a long non-coding RNA of Perca fluviatilis (European perch), 854 nucleotides long. RefSeq lists it as uncharacterized. The transcript has 3 exons. NCBI's taxonomy places the organism in Eukaryota, Metazoa, Chordata, Actinopteri, Perciformes, Percidae. The record is from RefSeq and is a predicted model, not a curated record.